GGACGGGUGAGUAUCGCGUGGAGAACCUGUCUCUUAGUUUGGAAUAACCUGGCGAAAGCCGGACUAAUCCCAAAUAAUCUUUACUAAUAGCCUUAUAAGUAAAGGAAAGGUGCUUAUUGCAUCGCUAAGAGGUGGCUCCGCGUCGGAUUAGCUAGCUGGUGAGGUAAUGGCUCACCAGGGCAACGAUCCGUAGCUGGUCUGAGAGGACGAUCAGCCACACUGGGACUGAGACACGGCCCAGACUCCUACGGGAGGCAGCAGUGGGGAAUCUUCCGCAAUGGGCGCAAGCCUGACGGAGCAACGCCGCGUGAAUGAUGAAGGCCUUCGGGUUGUAAAGUUCUGUCCUCAGGGAAGAACCAUCAUGAUAGUCAAUGAUCAUGAUCUGACGGUACCUGGGGAGGAAGCCCUGGCUAACUACGUGCCAGCAGCCGCGGUAAUACGUAGAGGGCAAGCGUUGUCCGGAAUCACUGGGCGUAAAG
This 479-nucleotide ribosomal RNA is filed under the name uncultured bacterium. RNAcentral describes it as "bacterial SSU rRNA". It matches the Rfam family "Bacterial small subunit ribosomal RNA", at positions 100 to 565 of the family's 1533-position model. The record is from RNAcentral.